GCCUUCGUGGUGUAGUGCUCAGCACGCUCGAUUCGUAACGAGAGGUCUGUGGUUCGAUUCCCGGCGAAGGCU
Molecule: transfer RNA, 72 nt
Filed under: Stegodyphus mimosarum
Lineage: Eukaryota; Metazoa; Arthropoda; Arachnida; Araneae; Eresidae
Rfam family: tRNA
About the family: Transfer RNA (tRNA) molecules are approximately 80 nucleotides in length. Their secondary structure includes four short double-helical elements and three loops (D, anti-codon, and T loops). Further hydrogen bonds mediate the characteristic L-shaped molecular structure. tRNAs have two regions of fundamental functional importance: the anti-codon, which is responsible for specific mRNA codon recognition, and the 3' end, to which the tRNAs corresponding amino acid is attached (by aminoacyl-tRNA synthetases). tRNAs cope with the degeneracy of the genetic code in two manners: having more than one tRNA (with a specific anti-codon) for a particular amino acid; and 'wobble' base-pairing, i.e. permitting non-standard base-pairing at the 3rd anti-codon position.
Source: Rfam by way of RNAcentral